Molecule: long non-coding RNA, 268 nt
Organism: Aedes aegypti (yellow fever mosquito)
Lineage: Eukaryota; Metazoa; Arthropoda; Insecta; Diptera; Culicidae
Exons: 2
Source: RefSeq, a predicted model, not a curated record
UGAGCAUUAAAAGAUAGCAGCUGUCAAGACUGUUUGGUGAGUUAACAACGCGUGAUUGGAAGGCAAUUUUGGAAAAUUGUUUGUUUUUUUCCAAAUAACAGUGAUCUUCGAAUAUACCGUUCUGUUUGACAACCAAGAAUGGUGAGAAAUCAUUCUGGAAUAUUGGAAAACCGUGGUCAGCCAAGCGAUGAAAACUACAAUUUCUGAACGACACAAGCAAUGUUGGGCUUGUAUUAUGUUUAUAAUAAAAUAACAGUAUUCCCAAGAA